UACGUAGGUGGCAAGCGUUGUCCGGAUUUACUGGGCGUAAAGGGAGCGUAGGCGGAUUUUUAAGUGAGAUGUGAAAUACCCGGGCUUAACUUGGGUGCUGCAUUUCAAACUGGAAGUCUAGAGUGCAGGAGAGGAGAAGGGAAUUCCUAGUGUAGCGGUGAAAUGCGUAGAGAUUAGGAAGAACACCAGUGGCGAAAGCGCUUCUCUGGACUGUAACUGACGCUGAGGCUCGAAAGCGUGGGGAGCAAACAGGAUUAGAUACCCUGGUAGU
This 271-nucleotide ribosomal RNA is filed under the name uncultured prokaryote. RNAcentral describes it as "partial 16S ribosomal RNA". It matches the Rfam family "Bacterial small subunit ribosomal RNA", at positions 524 to 794 of the family's 1533-position model. The record is from RNAcentral.